UAAUACGUAGGGGGCAAGCGUUGUCCGGAUUUACUGGGCGUAAAGGGCGCGUAGGCGGCCUGCUUUGUCGGGGGUGAAAGGUCCGGGCUUAACCUGGACAGGUCUCUCGAAACGGGCAGGCUUUGAGGGCGGUAGAGGCUGGUGGAAUUCCGGGUGUAGUGGUGAAAUGCGUAGAGAUCCGGAGGAACACCGGUGGCGAAGGCGGCCAGCUGGGCCGGCCCUGACGCUGAGGCGCGAAAGCGUGGGGAGCGAACUGAAUUAGAUACUCAGGUAGUCCACGCCCUAAACGCUGGACACUAGGUGUGGGGGGUAUCGACCCCUCCCGUGCCCGAGCUAACGCAGUAAGUGUCCCGCCUGGGGAGUACGGCCGCAAGGCUA
RNAcentral lists this ribosomal RNA (378 nucleotides) under uncultured bacterium. RNAcentral's name for it is "bacterial SSU rRNA". It matches the Rfam family "Bacterial small subunit ribosomal RNA", at positions 521 to 896 of the family's 1533-position model. The record is from RNAcentral.